GUAUUAGUGGCUCCAUUACCG
This 21-nucleotide non-coding RNA is filed under the name Arabidopsis thaliana (thale cress). Lineage: Eukaryota; Viridiplantae; Streptophyta; Magnoliopsida; Brassicales; Brassicaceae. The record is from RNAcentral.